AUUGAACGCUGGCGGCAUGCCUUACACAUGCAAGUCGAACGGUAACGCGGGGCAACCUGGCGACGAGUGGCGAACGGGUGAGUAAUGCAUCGGAACGUGCCCAGAAGUGGGGGAUAGCCCGGCGAAAGCCGGAUUAAUACCGCAUGAGACCUGAGGGUGAAAGCGGGGGAUCGCAAGACCUCGCGCUUUUUGAGCGGCCGAUGUCAGAUUAGCUAGUUGGUGGGGUAAAGGCCUACCAAGGCGACGAUCUGUAGCUGGUCUGAGAGGACGACCAGCCACACUGGGACUGAGACACGGCCCAGACUCCUACGGGAGGCAGCAGUGGGGAAUUUUGGACAAUGGGCGCAAGCCUGAUCCAGCCAUGCCGCGUGCGGGAAGAAGGCCUUCGGGUUGUAAACCGCUUUUGUCAGGGAAGAAACGCUCUGGGCUAAUACCCUGGGGUAAUGACGGUACCUGAAGAAUAAGCACCGGCUAACUACGUG
This 482-nucleotide ribosomal RNA is filed under the name uncultured bacterium. Its description in RNAcentral is "partial 16S ribosomal RNA". It matches the Rfam family "Bacterial small subunit ribosomal RNA", at positions 29 to 507 of the family's 1533-position model. The record is from RNAcentral.